GGGAACCUCACCCGGCCCGGACACCGCGAGGAUUGACAGACUGAGAGCUCUUUCUCGAUUCGGUGGGUGGUGGUGCAUGGCCGUUCUUCGUUGGUGGAGCGAUCUGUCUGGUUAAUUCCGAUAACGAACGAGACCCCAACCUGCUAACUAGCCCUCGGGUCCUGCUUCUGUUGGGCCCGACGGAAUGAUUCGCUUCUUAGAGGGACUCGCGGCGCCUAGCCGCACGAAGGGGGGCGAUAA
This 240-nucleotide ribosomal RNA is filed under the name uncultured eukaryote. RNAcentral describes it as "partial 18S ribosomal RNA". It matches the Rfam family "Eukaryotic small subunit ribosomal RNA", at positions 1208 to 1456 of the family's 1831-position model. The record is from RNAcentral.